Molecule: long non-coding RNA, 309 nt
Organism: Scaptodrosophila lebanonensis
Lineage: Eukaryota; Metazoa; Arthropoda; Insecta; Diptera; Drosophilidae
Exons: 2
Source: RefSeq, a predicted model, not a curated record
UAUUUAUUUUCAUUUGGUUUUCAUAUUUCUAAAGCAGCAGUCGUCACAAAAUGAAUCUCACAAAUUAUAUUUUACUAAUUUCAACCAUAAGCAUGGCAGCGAUUAUACUCCCUAUUAUAAAACCUUUUGGAUUUGGUUUUCUAUGGUUUGGAAGAUAAAAGGCAAGGUUAUCCGUUAAACAAAGAUAGACAAAAUGCAAAUUUUAUUUGUUGGCUUUAUAGAGCUACGGAUGCAUUUUAUUCUAGGCGCUUCAAUUAUCAGUUUAAAACAAAUCUGAAUAAAGAAAGAAAAGCGAACCUGCCCAUACAA